Molecule: long non-coding RNA, 878 nt
Filed under: Nicotiana benthamiana
Lineage: Eukaryota; Viridiplantae; Streptophyta; Magnoliopsida; Solanales; Solanaceae
Description: long non-coding RNA (NBEN_LNC017983)
Source: RNAcentral
AACAACCUCCAAAUAUUAUCUGCCUCCAACAAUAAUGGAUUCAGUUAGAAGAUUCAUUUCAUUAUUUCUUAUUAUUGUCUCCAUUAUUUUCACUCAAAAUACCUUAUUAUUAGCAAAAGCAUCUAGGCCUAUGGGUGAGUCUGAAUUGACGACAUCGUUGCCAAGGGGUCAACUUCCAUCAGGUUCUUCUUCUUGCACCAACAUUCCUGAUCAAGGUGGCAACGGCUCGUGCCCAUAAACUUGAAAUCUUCUUUUCGUCUAAUUAAGGCGAGUCUAGAAUUAAAUUGUUCCAUUUUUCUUCUUGCUCUUCAAUUUGUGCAUAACCGACUUUUCAUAGGGUCGCUGGCAGGGGCAUGAAGCUAGCUAGGUGGGCGAAUACCUCUUUGCUCGAAAAAUAUAUUGUAUAUAUAAGGUUAAUUUUUUUAUGUACAUAUAUUAAAUGUUGAAUCCCCUAAAUUUCUUCACGUAUUUAUUUUUUUCAAUACCCGUAGUAAAAAUUAUACUUUCGCCACUUGUCAUCGCAUGUCUAUCACUGUGCAUGAUUGGCUUUUCUUGAAAGAAUGAUCUUUGUAAAGCUUCCGUGGUUCCAAGAAAGCUAAGGAGAAGAAAAAAAACCUUCGUUUUGAUGAUAAUGAAAUGUUUAGAAAAUUAAUUCUUUGAUAGUUUUGACUCUUCUCAUUCCUUCAAUUUAUGAAUAUUUUACUUUUUAAUUUUUCUUUAACUCGGAGAAACCAUUGAACAAAUUAGUGGUAAAUCCAAGCGAUUGAUGUAAAUAAAGAUAUAUAAAUUCAUGCCGAAGGCGUAUGUACUUCUUUUGUGUUUCCAACAAGGAAGACGAGUUUUAGAUCAACAAUAAAGGUGUAUUCGUAUAACCUAUA